Herpailurus yagouaroundi (jaguarundi) is the source of this 2275-nucleotide long non-coding RNA. RefSeq lists it as uncharacterized. Lineage: Eukaryota; Metazoa; Chordata; Mammalia; Carnivora; Felidae. The record is from RefSeq and is a predicted model, not a curated record. The transcript is spliced from 4 exons.
UAAAGCCCAAAGUAUCAUCCAAAAUAUCCUCUAAAUGAGAUAUAGGUGAGAGUGAGGUAGACUCAUCCUGAGGCAAACUGCUCAGCUGUGAACCUGUGGAACCAGACAAUUUAUGUGCUUCCACAAAAAUACAGUGCUGAGACAGGCACAGGACAUUCCCAUUCCAAAAGAGAGAAGUAGAAUAGAAGGAAGGGGUAAUGGAUCCCAAGUAAGUCUAAAACCCCCAAGGCCAAUUACCUGAACUCUUAAGAAUAAUCCUGUUUGGCUCAAUGCUCUGCUUUCCAGACCCACUGGGGUGGCAGGCCAGUCUCCACCUCAGAAAGGUGUGGUGGAGGAGGGGGUAUCCAGCAUGCCUGAGGCUCCAGGCAGCCCUACCCCAUGUAAGAUCACUCUCUGUCCCUUUCAUAAGCCCAUCUUAAAUCAUUCAUAUUUUUUUUUUAGGGUAUAGAUUUUUGUUGUUGUUGUUGUUAAUUUAAAAACACCUCUUAAUGGUAGAAUCUUAUUUACUGGAAAAGCAUUGCAAAUAAGGAAAUCUUGAGAUCUAGAGGAAUCUAUGUGGCAAAGAUUCAGCUUAAACAAGUCCUCAGGAUGGCUUCCAUUCCUUCUGGUUCUUGAGCUAAUCCCGGGAGUGUUUAGUAUUUUUUUUUUUUAAUCUUUGACAGGAGUUAUACUUAGUGUAUAUGUCUUAAUUUAUGCAUUUAUUUAUCUUUUAAUAGGUCCAGAACUGCUGAAGACUCACAUCUUGGAUAAUGAGAGAGCUAUGGCUUUACAAAUAACAAUGGAUAUCUGUCUUCUCCGUGAGGCUGAAGACUGAAGGAAUCACAUCUGUCUUUUGAUUUUUAAAUCCCCAGUGUCUAGCAGAGCGCUUGAUAUGUGGUAGAAGCUCAUUAUGUAUUGGUUGAGUAAAUGCAUGAAAAAAAAAAAAUAGAAUACCCAUACUCAAGGAUGUUUUGGCUUAGAAUUGAUUCACUAUCUCAAAUGCAGCUGGAUUGUUGCCAUUGAUUUCUAGGGAUAUUUUAGCCUGAUGAGUGAAAAAGCUUGAGGGGGCACUUGUUUACAAAAAAGAUCUAAUUUAUCCUCUUCCCUUCCAUUCCUGACCAGUUUGCAACUUCUUUUUACCAUAUGCAAUCCUUAUUAAAUUUAAAAAGUCUCAGAAUUUCCUAGUAGCUUGAUACUUUCAAAUAUAACUCCUAUCAUAGGAAAUAUUAGAAAAAUUAUAGAAUGUACCCCUGCCCUCCCCCCACCACCUUCUUUUGAGACCUACUACCUUUCUUCUUUAGGUUGCAAUCUGGAUUUCUCAAAAGUCUGCUAAGGUUUUAUUUGGCCUAUAGUUUGCAUGGAACCUCCCCACAUGUUUUCUACCCCACCCUUAAAUAAGGCCAACACAGGUUGACUUUUGCUUAAGCUAAUUUUCAUCUCUGUGCAACAAUUAAAAUUUAUUCACCAGAGAUUAUGACCAAUAAACACCACUAACUUUAAACCAUAUCCUUACUCCUGUCCAAUACAUCCCAAAGUUUGUUGAGUUGAUGAGUAUUAAUUUAUUCAUUCAUGUUCCCACCUGUGCAUCUAAAUUUAGACACAUUUAUUUGGUCAUAGGAAAAUUAUAGUGAGAGAAAGGUUAGGGUGUAAUGGAUUAAACAUGCAACAUUUAGGUUUUAAGGAAAUUCUUCAAAUACUAACCCAACCAAGAACUCAAGCACAGGAUCAGUGUCAUUAGUUAGAAUGAGCUAAUAGACAAUGAGCUGACCAAUUAUAAAGAUUAUUCUUGAAUUUUAUAAUGAAAUAGUCUUUUCUUCUUGUCCAUAUCCUUAGUAAAAUUGUACAGAGACUGCAGAGCAGGUGCUCAACAGGACUGAGAUGACAAAGACAUGGGAGACCACAAUAAUAUGCAGCUUCCCUGGCUCUCAGCUGAAGGAGAGAUCUCCUCAGGAAGAGGUUUAACACCUGGGGAAAAAAGAGGAUGUGGAUCCAAACUGAAUACCAGGCUUUAUAUACCUGUCUGAGCCUCAGUGUCAUAACCUAUAAAAUGAACAUAUUGAGUUGAUGUAACAAAUAAAUGCUCUUAUCUCAGUACUUACUGUAUAUUUAAACACUAUGACUUGGUGCCAUUAUAAUGAUUAUUAUUCCUUUUGUUAAUAAUAGCCUGGGGCACCGGGUUCUCUCAGUCUAUUGGGUGUUCAAAUCUUGAUUUUUGGCUCCAGUCAUGAUCUCACAGGUUUGUGGGGUCAAGCCACAUGUCAGGAUCUGUGCUGACAGUGUGGAGCCUGCUUGGGAU